GCUUUAGUCAGUGUGCCUCCGACCGUCAGCAACGCAUGACGGGUGCCUGGUUCAAGCCGCCGCUGGGCCAGCGGGCUGUCCAGCCCUACUGGACCGGCCUAGCUUAAUACAAUGAUCACCUGUGUUCUUGGCGCUUAGACGAGCAGCGUCAUCGACUCUCAGGCCACUGUCAGCUCGUCCUACAUACAUCAUCACUACUUCAGUCUUGGCGGGCGCGCCAUCACCCUCCCAUCUCUGAUGGCUGGUGCGACAGCGCGCCACAUCGCCGGACGCAGUCACCCACCACGACUGCAGCCACCCAUGUGGGUCGGCUAAACCAUGACAUUCUGUACCCCUACCUCAAUCAAGAGGUAACCAGGGCUGGCGCGAAUCCAACCGGAGGGGACCAAAGGACCAUCGUCAUCCCUCUUUUUGUUUUCUGGUCCUUUCGCCCCCGUCCUGAUUCUCAUUGGAUCCGUGCCAGAACCACAAGAAUGUCUGUCUGUAAGUUCGUAAUAAUUGUUCUUACGUAUUUACAGACCUUUAUUUAUCUUAAUAUUAAAUAAAAGAAGACAUUAACGGGUUUUGGCAACCAGUAAAUAACGCGCAGUUUUACUUUGGAUAAUGGCAUGAUGUGACCUAUCGUAAUUUUAAACAAUAAACUGAAACGUAGCUCUCUAAAGGAGUCAGAAUAAA
Trichoplusia ni (cabbage looper) is the source of this 675-nucleotide long non-coding RNA. RefSeq lists it as uncharacterized. The record is from RefSeq and is a predicted model, not a curated record. The transcript is spliced from 3 exons. Lineage: Eukaryota; Metazoa; Arthropoda; Insecta; Lepidoptera; Noctuidae.